Molecule: non-coding RNA, 185 nt
Filed under: Gammaproteobacteria bacterium
Lineage: Bacteria; Pseudomonadati; Pseudomonadota; Gammaproteobacteria
Description: 6S RNA
Rfam family: 6S / SsrS RNA
About the family: E. coli 6S RNA was the first non coding RNA to be sequenced, but its function was unknown until recently.
Source: RNAcentral
GGCUUCCUGGAAUGUACGCCAGUUGGUGUCGUCCUUGAGCCGUUAUAGAAAACUAGGGGAUUCUGCGUCGGCACCGGUGUGCACACCCAACGCAUUCGCUGCGGGUAGCCUUAGAUGCCGCCCGAAUCACCGCCUUGAACCAAGAGCGGUUCAGGGCCAGCCAAACAGCGGCAUUCCGGUGGCAA